RNAcentral lists this ribosomal RNA (465 nucleotides) under uncultured Alphaproteobacteria bacterium. RNAcentral describes it as "bacterial SSU rRNA". It matches the Rfam family "Bacterial small subunit ribosomal RNA", at positions 9 to 521 of the family's 1533-position model. The record is from RNAcentral. Lineage: Bacteria; Pseudomonadati; Pseudomonadota; Alphaproteobacteria.
GAGUUUGAUCCUGGCUCAGAACGAACGCUGGCGGCAGGCUUAACACAUGCAAGUCGAGCGCCCCGCAAGGGGGAGCGGCAGACGGGUGAGUAACGCGUGGGAACGUACCCUUUGCUACGGAAUAACUCCGGGAAACUGGAACUAAUACCGUAUGUGCCCUUCGGGGGAAAGAUUUAUCGGCAAAGGAUCGGCCCGCGUUGGAUUAGCUAGUUGGUGGGGUAAAGGCCUACCAAGGCGACGAUCCAUAGCUGGUCUGAGAGGAUGAUCAGCCACAUUGGGACUGAGACACGGCCCAAACUCCUACGGGAGGCAGCAGUGGGGAAUAUUGGACAAUGGGCGCAAGCCUGAUCCAGCCAUGCCGCGUGAGUGAUGAAGGCCCUAGGGUUGUAAAGCUCUUUCACCGAUGAAGAUAAUGACGGUAGUCGGAGAAGAAGCCCCGGCUAACUUCGUGCCAGCCGCCGCCGU